CAAUUUUCAGGAGGCGACUCCUUGUUCUCUUUUGCUGCCUCAGUUAGGUGUUGCCAGUGAUGGCGACUUAACUGAGGUUGCAUAUGGUGUGGCACAGCCAACCAAAGAGGGCCAAACAAUGCAUUCGAUGCCUGUUACAAGUGGCCACAUCAGUGUGAUCGUGGAAACUUCUAAAGGGGUUUGAAGAUUUCUCACUCCCGGUUCCAAUGCCAGAAGGGAGCCUUGAGAAACUAUCAGACGCCCUAGGUAGUUUCAUCACAUGGCCAUAUGCUUGGGUCCGAUUCACUACCAUGCUAAAGAGUCUAAAGGGCUCUAGGAGAGAGAUCGGUUCCUCAUCAAAGAUGUUGACUGGGUCAAAGUCGACGACAAUCACUCCAAUUUUGACUGAUGCGGAGCUAAAAGAUAUCUCUCAAGAUUGCAAAUGUCUGCACACAUAUGCAUCUCACCUGCGUGAGGAGGACCCAAUCGUUCUAACCCUGCAGAAGGAACAAUUCUGCUUUGUUGAGAGCCCAUUUGUAAUUAUUGGUCCUAGUGCCAUUGGGCAAUUUUAGAGAGGAGAAAUGUUGAAUGUAGCUCUUAUCCAUGUCUACAUGAGUGCGGCUUACGAGGAGCUAAAUUCUUGUGAACCUCCAAUAAAAAUUGGAUGUUUUGUCUUGAGUCGAUUUCAGGUACUAAAAACGUAAAUGAUCCAGAUGACGUCAAAGCAUACAUUGAGACUGCUUUGAAUAAUUCCCAUGCAUCUAAACAGACGUUCAUUCUAGCCCCAUAUGUGGAAGAUUUGCAUUGGAUACUUUUGGUCAUAUGUCCUUUAACGAACACUGUGCACGUCUUCGACUCAUUACAAAAACCUCAAAGCCCGUCUCGCAACACAAAAUUCAAAGCCUUGUUGAAUGCUGCUUUCGACAAGUUGAUAAUAUCGUUGAUUGCGGCUACUACACUCUCAAAUACAUGGACGCUGUUUUAUACGACAUUCCAAUGAAAACACGCCCUUUUAGAAUUGGAGAUAUGCGCCAAUUGAAAGACAAGAUUGCCGCGUAUCUUGCUAAUUUUUGUUCUUGGUAAAUAAUGUAAUUAGUUUAGAUUUAGAAUUUAAUUUGUAUAUGUACAUAUUAUUAUAUAUACGAUCGAGAGUUUACAAAGAGAUUAUUGGUG
Molecule: long non-coding RNA, 1152 nt
Organism: Amaranthus tricolor (Joseph's coat)
Lineage: Eukaryota; Viridiplantae; Streptophyta; Magnoliopsida; Caryophyllales; Amaranthaceae
Exons: 6
Source: RefSeq, a predicted model, not a curated record